This 77-nucleotide transfer RNA is filed under the name Solitalea canadensis DSM 3403. RNAcentral describes it as "tRNA-Met". The stretch from base 3 to 69 matches the Rfam family "tRNA". From Rfam's summary of the family: Transfer RNA (tRNA) molecules are approximately 80 nucleotides in length. Their secondary structure includes four short double-helical elements and three loops (D, anti-codon, and T loops). Further hydrogen bonds mediate the characteristic L-shaped molecular structure. tRNAs have two regions of fundamental functional importance: the anti-codon, which is responsible for specific mRNA codon recognition, and the 3' end, to which the tRNAs corresponding amino acid is attached (by aminoacyl-tRNA synthetases). tRNAs cope with the degeneracy of the genetic code in two manners: having more than one tRNA (with a specific anti-codon) for a particular amino acid; and 'wobble' base-pairing, i.e. permitting non-standard base-pairing at the 3rd anti-codon position. Lineage: Bacteria; Pseudomonadati; Bacteroidota; Sphingobacteriia; Sphingobacteriales; Sphingobacteriaceae. The record is from RNAcentral.
GGGGGGUAGCUCAGUUGGUUAGAGCGCAGGAUUCAUAACCCUGAGGUCACGGGUUCAACUCCCGUCUCCAACUACGA